GAUGAACGCUGGCUUUGUGCCUAAUACAUGCAAGUCGAGCGAACGGACGAGAAGCUUGCUUCUCUGAUGUUAGCGGCGGACGGGUGAGUAACACGUGGAUAACCCACCUAUAAGACUGGGAUAACUUCGGGAAACCGGAGCUAAUACCGGAUAAUAUUUUGAACCGCAUGGUUCAAAAGUGAAAGACGGUCUUGCUGUCACUUAUAGAUGGAUCCGCGCUGCAUUAGCUAGUUGGUAAGGUAACGGCUUACCAAGGCAACGAUGCAUAGCCGACCUGAGAGGGUGAUCGGCCACACUGGAACUGAGACACGGUCCAGACUCCUACGGGAGGCAGCAGUAGGGAAUCUUCCGCAAUGGGCGAAAGCCUGACGGAGCAACGCCGCGUGAGUGAUGAAGGUCUUCGGAUCGUAAAACUCUGUUUUUAGGGAAGAACAUAUGUGUAAGUAACUGUGCACAUCUUGACGGUACCUAAUCAGAUAGCCACGGCUAACUACGUGCCAGCAGCCGCGGUAAUACGUAGGUGGCAAGCGUUAUCCCGAAUUAUUGGGCGUCAAGCGCGCGUAGCGGUUUUUUAAGUCUGAUGUGAAAGCCCACGGCUCAACCGUGGAGGGUCAUUGGAAACUGGAAAACUUGAGUGCAGAAGAGGAAAGUGGAAUUCCAUGUGUAGCGGUGAAAUGCGCAGAGAUAUGGAGGAACACCAGUGGCGAAGGCGACUUUCUGGUCUGUAACUGACGCUGAUGUGCGAAAGCGUGGGGAUCAAACAGGAUUAGAUACCCUGGUAGUCCACGCCGUAAACGAUGAGUGCUAAGUGUUAGGGGGUUUCCGCCCCUUAGUGCUGCAGCUAACGCAUUAAGCACUCCGCCUGGGGAGUACGACCGCAAGGUUGAAACUCAAAGGAAUUGACGGGGACCCGCACAAGCGGUGGAGCAUGUGGUUUAAUUCGAAGCAACGCGAAGAACCUUACCAAAUCUUGACAUCCUUUGACAACUCUAGAGAUAGAGCCUUCCCCUUCGGGGGACAAAGUGACAGGUGGUGCAUGGUUGUCGUCAGCUCGUGUCGUGAGAUGUUGGGUUAAGUCCCGCAACGAGCGCAACCCUUAAGCUUAGUUGCCAUCAUUAAGUUGGGCACUCUAAGUUGACUGCCGGUGACAAACCGGAGGAAGGUGGGGAUGACGUCAAAUCAUCAUGCCCCUUAUGAUUUGGGCUACACACGUGCUACAAUGGACAAUACAAAGGGCAGCGAAACCGCGAGGUCAAGCAAAUCCCAUAAAGUUGUUCUCAGUUCGGAUUGUAGUCUGCAACUCGACUACAUGAAGCUGGAAUCGCUAGUAAUCGUAGAUCAGCAUGCUACGGUGAAUACGUUCCCGGGUCA
Molecule: ribosomal RNA, 1371 nt
Filed under: uncultured bacterium
Lineage: Bacteria
Description: bacterial SSU rRNA
Rfam family: Bacterial small subunit ribosomal RNA
Source: RNAcentral